Molecule: long non-coding RNA, 1865 nt
Organism: Oryzias melastigma (Indian medaka)
Lineage: Eukaryota; Metazoa; Chordata; Actinopteri; Beloniformes; Adrianichthyidae
Exons: 4
Source: RefSeq, a predicted model, not a curated record
ACAACAGAUGGCCUCAACGAACCAUCAGAUUGUUCCCCUGGUGAACGCAAAAGUAACUCAAAGACCCACUUCCAGCAUCACCCAGAGAGGAGGCCUGCAGGUUCUCAAACACUCAGCAGGUCUGCGCUGAGGGGUCCUCGCGGGCCACAUGCAGGACAGGCAGGCAAAGUGGCCUUUCCCCGUGUGAUCAGACGCCGUCCCCUCCUCUCUGGACUACAUCUACCACCAUGACCCUGCUGCUAAACCACCAUGAGGGGGCGCUGCUGUUGGAUGGACUGUUCUGAAGGCAGGAAGGGGUUCCUGUUUGUUCACAGGCAGCGACUCUGGGCGUGACUGGAUGGAGGACGUCCUGAGGUCCCCGGCACUUCACUGGCCUCAUCAUUAGACAGGCUGGCUCCUGCGGCCUCCGGCGGAGUGCUGUCUGCACACCCUAAUGACCACCGACUCACUCAGCACGCAGCAUCGCCACAUUAGCCCAGCCCACAACGGCCCCCAAAUAAAGAAAGAUGAGAGGGAAGCGGGGACGGUCGGCGCCCCCACAGGCUUGAAAGUGAGCGAUGUGUGUCACUGAAGACGCCGGCUGUCGGACUGGAUGCAGCUGAUCCACGCACACACACAACAGGACGUGACGGCGUGAGAGCCAGAGAGCAAAGAUCAGCCUGCACAGAGACGAGGCGCUGAAGCACAGCAAUCGUUUAGUCUUACACACACAUUAAAUCCAAUCUGUCUGGACCAGAACCCUAAUCCCCUCUCCACGGCCAUGCAGACAGCAGACAGUAAUCCUCCAUAUUUGUGUAUUAAUAGAAACAGCCUCCGAGGGGCCUCUCUAUAUGUUGUGAUGUAUGUUUUAUUAGUUGGUUAAUCUGCUUGUUUAUCAGAGGGCUGGUCCGCUCGAACAUGGGUUUUAAUAAAACACGGGCAGCCUUGACUGAGGGAUAAGCUCCCCAAGGACGGCAGGCUCCAAUAGACUCAUCAUCUACAAUAAACAGCUUUACAUCAACAUUAUCUGUCACGGGACAAUGCAAUUAUCAGGUGGAAUUCAGGCCCCCCGAACAACACGAGGGCCGGAUAAAGCUUAACCUAAAUAUGAGCCUGCUACCUUGGUGCUGGGACACGUGCUUCAUUCACCUCUGUGGGCAUUUCUGAGGGCGUGCUUCACAAUCUCUGAAUCUCCUAAGUGCUCUCGUGGACCGGCGGAGGAAUGACGGGCGCAGAGGUGAGAUUCCUUCCCAUCUGAAUCACGUCAGCUCACCUCUCGGCUCGUCUAGACGCUGUGUCACUGCCACACCCCGCUGGACAUCUGUCCUGAUUCAAUAGAUCUGCCAGACAGCCGUUCGAUUAGAAGGGCACCGUUUUAAAUUAGCUGUAGAGUCGGGAGUGAUGGAGAGGCUGGAAAGCUGAGGAGACAAUGUCUCUCAACAACGUGCCAGCCAGCAAAAGCAGUUCCAGAUAUGACUUUUUCCAUGGAGGCAUCUCAUUCAUACGGUUCUGUCUUUGAAACACUGAACUCCAGCCGCUGAGCUUACAGACCCACUCCAAUCUUCUUCUGUAGGCCUGGACAAUACGUCACAAAUUUAUCACCAUGGAAAUAUCCAGCACAUUCUCACUCCCAAGUCAUCGCAUUUUGGUUAAAGACCCUUCCACGUCACUUUUUGACGUUUUGGGUGUCCCCAACUCAUCGUUUUUUGAUGUACUGACUGUUCCCAUUAAACCUCUGGGCUGAAAACCAGAAUCGGUCCAGUACCCUAACCCAACCAGUGCCGGACCCGACCCGGUACCAGACGUGGUACUGGGUGUGGUACAGAGAGCGAACCGGACGUGGUACCAGCCGCGAACAAGUACCGAUUUAGGUUCCAGUACUGGGU